This is a non-coding RNA of Lemur catta (Ring-tailed lemur), 599 nucleotides long. Lineage: Eukaryota; Metazoa; Chordata; Mammalia; Primates; Lemuridae. The record is from the annotation of a RefSeq genome assembly.
CACAAGAGAAUGAAAAAAGAAAACAAAACUAUAUUUGGAGAGCCCUGGCCAGCUUUCAAGUCUCCCAAAUCUGAGUCUUCAGUCAACUGGACAGAAAAAAAAACAUGAAGAACCUACUAGCAGUGAUUCUGUGGCUUCAAGUAGACUGGUUACUUGGAGAGGUGGAAGUGCAGCAAAGCCCUCUAUCUCUGAACACCCAGGAGGGAGAAGACUGCACCAUCUACUGCAAUUAUUCAAGCUCUGCUUCAGAUAGACUGUACUGGUAUAGACAGGAUCCGGGAAAGAGCCUGGAAUUUCUGUUUGUAUUGCUGUCAAAUGGAGCAGUGAAGCAGAAGGGACCAUUAACAGCCUCCCUUGACACCAACGCCCGCCUCAGCACCCUGCACAUCGGGGGUCCCCAGCAUGGCCUCUCUGCUACCUACUUCUGUGCCAUGGACACACAAUGCUCCCCUGACACAGUCAGUCAGUACCCAAACCUGCAGCUGGGGCUCCAGGCCCACCCCUGCUGCCGGGACUACAGCGGUGAGGCUUAGUUCACUGUCUCUGCAUCCCUUUCUGCAAGGAAAAUUCUGAAAUGAAUAAAAAAGAUGGUGUUUUGA